Molecule: ribosomal RNA, 450 nt
Filed under: uncultured prokaryote
Description: bacterial SSU rRNA
Rfam family: Bacterial small subunit ribosomal RNA
Source: RNAcentral
UCGGGAGUUUUGGGCAAUGGGGGAAACCCUGACCCAGCAACGCCGCGGGAGGGAUGAAGGCCUUCGGGUCGUAAACCUCGGUCGGGAGGGAAGAAAGGCGCACGGACGAACAAUCCGUGUACUUGACGGUACCUCCAAAGGAAGCACCGGCUAACUCCGUGCCAGCAGCCGCGGUAAUACGGAGGGUGCAAGCGUUGUUCGGAAUCACUGGGCGUAAAGCGCGUGUAGGCGGCUUGGCAAGUCGGUUGUGAAAUCCCGGGGCCCAACCCCGGAACUGCAACCGAAACUGCCUAGCUCGAGUCCCGGAGAGGGUGGCGGAAUUUCCGGUGUAGAGGUGAAAUUCGUAGAUAUCGGAAGGAACACCAGUGGCGAAGGCGGCCACCUGGACGGUGACUGACGCUGAGACGCGAAAGCGUGGGGAGCAAACAGGAUUAGAUACCCCCGUAGUCC